GCGGACGGCUGGAUGAUCGCGUGUGUCUUAGGGUACGCGAGGAAAGUCCGGACUCCAUGAAGAAACGGUGCCGGGUAACGCCCGGCCGGGGAAACCCGAGGGAAAGCGCCACAGAGAACAGACUACCGCGCUUGCGCGGCAAAGGUGAAAAGGUGGGGUAAGAGCCCACCGGUGGGCUGGUAACAGCCCGCGCAUGGCAAGCCCCACCGGGAGCAAUGCCGAAUAGGGAUGUCAUGGCGGGUUGAUCCUUUGGGAUAUCACCGCCGGGCCUCUUCUGCCCAGACAUCCGGGUAGGCAGCUUGAUCCUGCGGGUAAUCGCAGGACCAGAGGAAUGGUCAUCCAGAGGGGCGCAAGCCCUUUGGACAGAAUCCGGCUUAUAGGCCGUCCGCGCAA
RNAcentral lists this RNase P RNA (393 nucleotides) under Paracoccaceae bacterium. Its description in RNAcentral is "Rhodobacteraceae bacterium (marine metagenome) RNase P RNA component class A". It matches the Rfam family "Bacterial RNase P class A". Rfam says of the family: Ribonuclease P (RNase P) is a ubiquitous endoribonuclease, found in archaea, bacteria and eukarya as well as chloroplasts and mitochondria. Lineage: Bacteria; Pseudomonadati; Pseudomonadota; Alphaproteobacteria; Rhodobacterales; Paracoccaceae. The record is from RNAcentral.